GCGCAGGUGGCGGAGCGGUUCAUCGCGCCGGCCUGUAGAGCCGGAGUCCUUCGGGACGAUCGGGGGUUCGAAUCCCUCCCUGCGCA
RNAcentral lists this transfer RNA (86 nucleotides) under Humisphaera borealis. RNAcentral's name for it is "tRNA-Tyr". It matches the Rfam family "tRNA". Rfam says of the family: Transfer RNA (tRNA) molecules are approximately 80 nucleotides in length. The record is from RNAcentral. Lineage: Bacteria; Pseudomonadati; Planctomycetota; Phycisphaerae; Tepidisphaerales; Tepidisphaeraceae.